RNAcentral lists this ribosomal RNA (119 nucleotides) under Carassius auratus (goldfish). Lineage: Eukaryota; Metazoa; Chordata; Actinopteri; Cypriniformes; Cyprinidae. The record is from RNAcentral.
GCUUACGGCCAUACCAACCUGGCUAUGCCCGAUCUCGUCUGAUCUCGGAAGCUAAGCAGGUUUGGGCCUGGUUAGUACUUGGAUGGGAGACCUCCUGGGAAUACCAGGUGCUGUAAGGU